UGCUUCUUAGUUUAAUGGAUAUGACGCCGGACUACGAAUCCGGAGAUAAAGGUUCAAUUCCUUUAGGAGCAA
Molecule: transfer RNA, 72 nt
Filed under: Bacteriophage sp.
Also listed under: 1 other name
Description: tRNA-Arg
Rfam family: tRNA
About the family: Transfer RNA (tRNA) molecules are approximately 80 nucleotides in length.
Source: RNAcentral